Vombatus ursinus (common wombat) is the source of this 160-nucleotide long non-coding RNA. RefSeq lists it as uncharacterized. The record is from RefSeq and is a predicted model, not a curated record. The transcript has 3 exons. NCBI's taxonomy places the organism in Eukaryota, Metazoa, Chordata, Mammalia, Diprotodontia, Vombatidae.
CUUCCCCCGUGAACCUUCCUGUGAUCUGAAGGCUUGGAAUGAAAAUGAACAAAAUGUCCAGCAAAUCACUCUGGAUAUACUCUCCAUGAGACAGAAGAAUUCAUAAAACAAACAUGUACCCUGCAUCUGUCCUUUGGAUAAAGCAGCAAGAUGUGAUCCU